Sitophilus oryzae (rice weevil) is the source of this 414-nucleotide long non-coding RNA. RefSeq lists it as uncharacterized. The record is from RefSeq and is a predicted model, not a curated record. The transcript has 3 exons. Lineage: Eukaryota; Metazoa; Arthropoda; Insecta; Coleoptera; Curculionidae.
UGUGUUUUGUGUCAAGUGUUGUCGAGAUCUUUCUGUUAUGUUGCUCUACAAUUUUUCUGAUUUUUUAAUAGAAAAGUAAUUUUUCUGUACACUAUUUGAGUGCAUUCUGUUCCUUCAGGUCUGUUUAACCUCUUGAAAACGAGCAUCAUUAAUAAUACACACCAGACACCAGCACGUAAGGACCUCCCAAAAGAAGAAAUCUGAGUCACCCCUUGUAUAAUCCUGAUGUUUAGCUACCAUUCUGGUUUACGACAUUGAUCGUCUAUUAUCUAAUUAACAAUUUUGUACAACAAAUCAAUGCAUGGAUAUAGUUCCAGGGCAGUACAUUUAUCCUUUUGAUAAAUACCGUAUGAUCGAAAAAAAACGGCGUCCAGUUGGCUGGGAAAUGAACAUCAAUGACAUUUCCCAUAUAAA